AUACGUAGGGGGCAAGCGUUAUCCGGAAUCAUUGGGCGUAAAGGGUGCGUAGGCGGCUAGGUAAGCGUGGGGUGAAAGGCAUUGGCUCAACCGAUGUAAGCCUCGCGAACUGCUUAGCUUGAGUACAGGAGAGGAAAGCGGAAUUCCUAGUGUAGCGGUGAAAUGCGUAGAUAUUAGGAGGAACACCAGUGGCGAAGGCGGCUUUCUGGACUGAAACUGACGCUGAGGCACGAAAGCGUGGGGAGC
Molecule: ribosomal RNA, 246 nt
Filed under: uncultured bacterium
Lineage: Bacteria
Description: partial 16S ribosomal RNA
Rfam family: Bacterial small subunit ribosomal RNA
Source: RNAcentral